Molecule: ribosomal RNA, 492 nt
Filed under: uncultured bacterium
Lineage: Bacteria
Description: partial 16S ribosomal RNA
Rfam family: Bacterial small subunit ribosomal RNA
Source: RNAcentral
AGUGAACGCUGGCGGUAGACCUAACACAUGCAAGUCGAACGGCAGCACAGUAAGAGCUUGCUCUUACGGGUGGCGAGUGGCGGACGGGUGAGGAAUACAUCGGAAUCUACUUUUUCGUGGGGGAUAACGUAGGGAAACUUACGCUAAUACCGCAUACGACCUACGGGUGAAAGCAGGGGAUCUUCGGACCUUGCGCGAUUGAAUGAGCCGAUGUCGGAUUAGCUAGUUGGCGGGGUAAAGGCCCACCAAGGCGACGAUCCGUAGCUGGUCUGAGAGGAUGACCAGCCACACUGGAACUGAGGCACGGUCCAGACUCCUACGGGAGGCAGCAGUGGGGAAUAUUGGACAAUGGGCGCAAGCCUGAUCCAGCCAUACCGCGUGGGUGAAGAAGGCCUUCGGGUUGUAAAGCCCUUUUGUUGGGAAAGAAAAGCAGCAGGUUAAUACCCCGCUGUUCUGACGGUACCCAAAGAAUAAGCACCGGCUAACUUCGUG